CUAGGAAGACACUCUCCUCAAGCACUGCUACUGCAAAGCCUGUGCUCAGAACCUCAAUUCUAAGAUCCUUUCCUGUCGAUGAUAAACCGGGAAAUGCCCUAAGUAACGUGCUCUGCUAUUAGCUCAUUUCAGCUGCACAGCAGCUCUGUGAGUCCGGUGAGAUGAUGCGCACCUUACAGACGAGGGGACUGAGGCUCGGAUGGGAAAAGCCCACUGUCUUUCUGAUGCCUGAUGUGUACUGGGGUGCAGCCCAAGUCCUCUACCCCUCUCCCCCUGGCUCCAACGGAAAGCCGGCAACACUCCUCUAUUACCCAGGAAGUGUCCCGUCUUGUCACCGCGUACGAGGCUUGUGGAUUGGCAGGAUUACUAUGAAGAAGGACACUGUGGAGUGGUGGCUGUGGACACAGAUUCUAGAGCCAGACAUUCAAUCGCAGCCUCAACCACUUCCUAGCUGGGUCACCUUGGACAAAGCGACUUCACAUCUCUGUGCCUCAGUGUUCCUGUCUGCACAAUGGAAUAUUAGUUGUAAUUACCUCAGAGGGCUGUUGGAGGCUUAAUCCAAGUCAAGCAAUUCGGGAAAUGGAUAUCAGCUUCCUGGCCUUUUGCUAGAGGUGGAGCCCUGAUUUGAACUCUAGCAGGCCCUGUUCUCUGCACCUCGCCUACAUUCACGGAAUCAUUCUUCCCAACCAUCUUGAAAGGGCCUGACGUCAGAAGCAAGUGUUACUCUGAGCCCUGCCUUGGACAUCCACAAGCAAACCUAUCACCCAGAGUGUGGAAGCUGGGAAGAGUUUGUUUCUUUCUUCUGUCAGAGAUUCAUAGAGCCUGAAGCUGGGAAAACCCUCAAAAACAAUCCAAGUCAUCCACUGCCCCCUUUCCAAUGGAUAGGAAACCAAAGUCCAUGGAGGAGGCAGAGAGCUGAGCCAGGUGGGAGACCCAGCUUCCUUGGAAGUCGCUUCUGGAGUCCCUUUGAGCUGGUGUUGUUCCCCUCAGAGGCUGUCACAGAAUGCCCGCUUCAGCAGUUCUUCAGCCUGGCUGCCCAUCAGAGUCCUCAUGUGGAGAGCUGCACCCUUGACUCUGCUUUGUUGGUGAGGACAGCGUCCUGGACACAGCCGUUGUGGUGAAGAUUCCCGGGUGAUUCUAAUGAGAGCACCUGCACCAGAUGCUGUUUAAGGUGCAGCAGGUGAUUCUGAGAUGCUUGGACUGAAGUUCCUGGGCUCAGGAGACACCAGGGCCAGUGGGAGACAGGACAGGUAAGGGAACGGCAAAAAGGUGAUGGGAUUUGCUCUAUGACAGGGGUGUAAAAGUCUACCCGGGUUGCUUCAGAGAGGAGGUAGCAUUUGAACAUGAAUCAUCCAUGUAGUCAACAUUCGGGGACUAUUUAUUGAGCACCCACUACGUAUCUUGGACAGUUCCAGAUGUUGGCGAUAUGGCAGUGACGCAGAGGAAGUCCACGUCCUCCUGGAGCUUCUAUUCUAGUAAGGAUGUCCCAUGAAGAGUCCAUGGGAGUUUGAUAUGCAUGGACGCAGGAGAAAGGUACUCUAGGGAGAUGGAGCAUCAUGAGCAGAUGGCAGGAAAGAAGAGGGCUUAUUUUAGCAGUGAUAUUUGAUGUGGCCAGAGCUUUGACAUGAAAUACAGAAGUGGUAAAAGAUGAGAAAAGAGAUCCAAGUAGGACCCUGAUGAUGAGAGCGGGUACUUGGAGGCCCUGUCCAAGAAUUGGAAUUAAUCCUGAUGACAACGAGGAGCCAUGUCAAGGUUGUGAACAGAGGAGUCACUUGAUCAGAUUUGUGUUUAGAACAAUGACUCUGGGGGCAGUGUGGAACAAGCUGGCCCACUGGCCCAUCCUAGGUGGUUCUUUCUCGUGAACCUAUCUCAGUCAAGAUCCUAAAGUUUUGGUUUCCUCUCGAGGGGGGCUUACAUGAGGCAGGGUUUGUAGGCAAGGAGCAAUGAGCAAGUGGCCACAUGUUGGGUGCACUCUUCCAAACCUUGUACAGAUAGGAACUUAUUUAAUCUCCACCACACCCGCUUAGGUAGGCAUGAUUCUUAUUCCCAUUUUAGAGAUGGUGAACCUAAGGCUCAAAGAACUGAAUCCACUUUCCCAAGGUCACAUAGCUGGUAAGUCACAGAACCAGGAUUUGAUCCCAGGUGGUCUACACCCAUAAGCACUAUGCUGUACUAAAUACCUAUUAACUUCAAGAACUCAUGGUCUCGAAGGUAUGCCAUAGAGGCAUCUUCGAAAUUCCUGUGCUUCCAAGAAGGCAAGUGUCAUUUAACCUCAUUUUGA
RNA transcript from Pteropus alecto (black flying fox), 2281 nucleotides. RefSeq lists it as uncharacterized. NCBI's taxonomy places the organism in Eukaryota, Metazoa, Chordata, Mammalia, Chiroptera, Pteropodidae. The transcript is spliced from 6 exons. The record is from RefSeq and is a predicted model, not a curated record.